CCUACGGGUGGCAGCAGUAGGGGAUAUUGCACAAUGGGGGAAACCCUGAUGCAGCGACGCCGCGUGGGUGAAGAAGCGCCUCGGCGCGUAAAGCGCUUUCAGCAGGGAGGAAAAUGACGGUACCUGAUGAAGAAGCCCCGGCUAACUACGUGCCAGCAGCCGCGGUCAUACGUAGGGGGCGAGCGUUAUCCGGAGUUACUGGGUGUAAAGGGGGGGAUGGCGGGGAUGCAAGAGAGGAGUGAAAGCCCGGGGGCACACCCCGGGACUGCAGGUGGAACUGCGUUGCGCGAGUGCUGGAGGGGUAGGUGGAAUUCCUGGUGUAGCGGUGAAAUGCGUAGAUAUCAGGAGGAACACCGGUGGCGAAGGCGGCCUGCUGGACUGCAACUGACGUUGAGGCACGAAAGCGUGGGGAGCAAACAGGAUUAGAUACCCGAGUAGUC
RNAcentral lists this ribosomal RNA (440 nucleotides) under uncultured bacterium. RNAcentral describes it as "partial 16S ribosomal RNA". It matches the Rfam family "Bacterial small subunit ribosomal RNA", at positions 338 to 795 of the family's 1533-position model. The record is from RNAcentral.